CCGUAAAGGUGCAUGAGUGGUGUUUGGUUUGAUACGGGUGGUCGGCUCCCUGCUUGAGCAGGCACGGCCACGCGUGCAUUCCUUUUCAGCUGUCCGGCAAGGCUUGUAUCGUCUUGAUCGUAUAAGUGGGUUUCCUGUGUUGCAUACCUGAUCAAUGGCAUCGUCUUGAUCAAAACUGUACCUUUUUCGUCUAGUGUUGCAUCCGCACCAUUGGAUGAACCGUGUAGCAUUCUCUUUGAUCCAUCCAAUUGAUGUUCAUUCGUUGAUUGUUUGGCCCAUUGAGCGUGACUUGGUCCCUUGAAUAUGGAAGCCAAAGUGGGCAUGGGAUCGCAAGAUCCGUUUAGUGCCCUUAUUGAGCGUUAUCGCUUCUCUUACACGACCGCCUCUCACGUAUGGCACGUCCCAGCGUGUUUGGCUAUGUCGAAGAGGAAUG
This 433-nucleotide unclassified non-coding RNA is filed under the name Pyrrocoma clementis. Its description in RNAcentral is "partial external transcribed spacer". The record is from RNAcentral. Lineage: Eukaryota; Viridiplantae; Streptophyta; Magnoliopsida; Asterales; Asteraceae.